GACGAACGCUGGCGGCGUGCCUAAUACAUGCAAGUCGAGCGAGUCUGCCUUGAAGAUCGGAGUGCUUGCACUCUGUGAAACAAGAUACAGGCUAGCGGCGGACGGGUGAGUAACACGUGGGUAACCUGCCCAAGAGAUCGGGAUAACACCUGGAAACAGAUGCUAAUACCGGAUAACAACAGAUGAUGCCUAUCAACUGUUUAAAAGAUGGUUCUGCUAUCACUCUUGGAUGGACCUGCGGUGCAUUAGCUAGUUGGUAGGGUAACGGCCUACCAAGGCGAUGAUGCAUAGCCGAGUUGAGGGACUGAUCGGCCACAUUGGGACUGAGACACGGCCCAAACUCCUACGGGAGGCAGCAGUAGGGAAUCUUCCACAAUGGACGCAAGUCUGAUGGAGCAACGCCGCGUGAGUGAAGAAGGGUUUCGGCUCGUAAAGCUCUGUUGUUGGUGAAGAAGGACAGGGGUAGUAACUGACCUUUGUUUGACGGUAAUCAAUUAGAAAGUCACGGCUAACUACGUG
This 519-nucleotide ribosomal RNA is filed under the name uncultured bacterium. Its description in RNAcentral is "partial 16S ribosomal RNA". It matches the Rfam family "Bacterial small subunit ribosomal RNA", at positions 28 to 507 of the family's 1533-position model. The record is from RNAcentral.